GAAUGGCUCAUUAAAUCAGUUAUAGUUUGUUUGAUGGUAUCUACUACUAGGAUAACUGUAGUAAUUCUAGAGCUAAUACGUGCAACAAACCCCGACUUCUAGAAGGGAUGCAUUUAUUAGAUAAAAGGCUGACGCGGGCUCUGCCCGUUGCUCUGAUGAUUCAUGAUAACUCGACGGAUCGCACAGCCAUCGUGCUGGCGGCGCAUCAUUCAAAUAUCUGCCCUAUCAACUUUCGAUGGUAGGAUAGUGGCCUACCAUGGUGGUGACGGGUGACGGAGAAUUAGAGUUCGAUUCCGGAG
This 299-nucleotide ribosomal RNA is filed under the name Prunus dulcis (almond). Its description in RNAcentral is "rRNA SSU_rRNA_archaea". It matches the Rfam family "Eukaryotic small subunit ribosomal RNA", at positions 91 to 388 of the family's 1831-position model. The record is from RNAcentral. Lineage: Eukaryota; Viridiplantae; Streptophyta; Magnoliopsida; Rosales; Rosaceae.